UCUUAGAUGACUGAGAGUAAGUGCUAGACUUUUAAUCUAGAGACAGCAGGUUCACACAUGCUUCUAAGAU
This 70-nucleotide transfer RNA is filed under the name Mitromorpha fischeri. RNAcentral describes it as "tRNA-Lys". It matches the Rfam family "tRNA". Rfam says of the family: Transfer RNA (tRNA) molecules are approximately 80 nucleotides in length. Their secondary structure includes four short double-helical elements and three loops (D, anti-codon, and T loops). The record is from RNAcentral. Lineage: Eukaryota; Metazoa; Mollusca; Gastropoda; Neogastropoda; Conidae.